AUUGAACGCUGGCGGCGUGCUUAACACAUGCAAGUCGAUCGGUAACAGGUGUAGCAAUACAUGCUGACGAGAGGCGGACGGGUGAGUAAUGCUUGGGAAUCUGCCUAUUAGUGGGGGACAACCCGGGGAAACGUCGGGCUAAUACCGCAUACGCUCUACGGAGGAAAGCCGGGGACCGCAAGGCCUGGCGCUAAUAGAUGAGCCCAAGUCGGAUUAGCUAGUUGGUAGGGAACGGCCUACCAAGGCGACAACGGGUAGGGGGCCU
Molecule: ribosomal RNA, 265 nt
Filed under: uncultured bacterium
Lineage: Bacteria
Description: partial 16S ribosomal RNA
Rfam family: Bacterial small subunit ribosomal RNA
Source: RNAcentral